This is a long non-coding RNA of Mytilus californianus (California mussel), 1630 nucleotides long. RefSeq lists it as uncharacterized. Lineage: Eukaryota; Metazoa; Mollusca; Bivalvia; Mytilida; Mytilidae. The record is from RefSeq and is a predicted model, not a curated record. The transcript has 2 exons.
UUUUAUUUUUAUACGACCGCAAAAAUUGAAAAUUUUUUGGUCGUAUAUUGGUAUGACGUCGUCUGGCGUCGUCCGAAGACACAUUGGUUUUCGCACUCUAACUUUAGUUUAAGUGAAUGGAUCUCCAUGAAAUUUUACCAUAAGGUUCAAUACCACGAAAGGAAGGUGGGGAUUGAUUUUGGGGGUUAUGGUACCAAUAGUUAAGGAAUUAGGGGCCAAAAAUAAGCAUUUUUGUAACUUCCAGACAAUAACUUGUGUGUAAGUGUAUGGAUCUCUCUGACAUUGUACCACAAGGUUCCAUAUCACAAAGGGAAGGCUGUAAUUGAUUUUGGGGGUAAUUGCCUCAAAAUUUUAGGAAUUAGGGGCCAAAAAAGGGGCAAAAAACAAGCAUUUUUCUAGUUUCAUGACAAUAACUUGUGUGUAAGUGUUUGGAUAUUUCUGAAAUUGUACUACAAGGUUCCAUAUCACAAAGGGAAAGCUGGAAUUGAGUUUGGGGGUAAUUGCCCGAAACGUUUAGGAAUUGGGGGCCAAAAAGGGGCCAAAAAUAAGCAUUUUUCUAGUUUCCAGACAAUAACUUGUGUUCAAGUGUAUGGAUCUCUCUGAAAUUGUACUGCAAGGUACCAUACCACAAAGGGAAGGCUGGGAUUGAGUUUGGGGGUGAUGAAUCAUAAGGGGGUUCAAAAAAUUUGGGGGGGGGGAUUUUUUUUUUUUCUUUUUUUUUCUUUUUUUCCUUAUUUUUUUUUCUUUUAAAAUUUUCCAUUUUAAGUUGGUUAUUUCUGAUUAAUAUUUAAAAGCAAAUAAUAAUGAUAUGGUAGGAGAUACACACCAAACAGGAUGUGUAAAUUAUUAUAUAAUAAGUAUUGUGCAAUAGCAAGAAAUUUUCAAUUGCACAGUAUUGCACAAUUGCAAGAAAUCUUCAACUGCACAGUAUUGCGCAAUAGCAAGAAAUCUUCAAUUGCACAGUAUUGUGCAAUAGCAAGAAAUAUCCAAUAGCACAAUAUUGCGCAAUAGCAAGAAAUUGUCAAUUGUACAGUAUUGCACAAUAGCAAGAAAUAUUCAAUUGCACAGUAUUGUGCAAAAGAAGAUACUUCGUAUAAAUUGCUUAUUUCUUGAUCAAUUUCAAUGGGGUUUUAUUCUUGAAUUCUUGGGGUUCUUUAAUAUGCUGAAUCUAACCGUGUAUUAAGUUUUUGGAUUUUGGGCCCCGUUUUUAAAUUGGUCCACAUUGAGGUCCAAAGGGUCCAAAAUUUAACUUUGUUUGAUUUCAUCAAAAAUUGAAUUAUUGGGGUUCUUUGAUAUGCCGAAUCUAACCGUGUAUUUAGAUUCUUAAUUUUUGGUUCCGUUUUCAAAUUGGUCUACAUUAAGGCCCAAAGGGUCCAAAAUUAAACUUAGUUUGAUUUUAACAAAAAUUGAAUUCUUGGGGUACUUUGAUAUGCUGAAUCUAAACAUGUGUUUAGAUUUUUGAUUAUGGGACCAGUUUUCAAGUUUGUCCAGGUUGGGGUCCAAAAUUAAACUUUGUUUGAUUUCAACAAAAAUUGAAUAUAUGGGGUUCUUUGAUAUGCUGAAUCUAACCAUGUAUUUUGAUUUUGGACAUUGGACCAUAAUAGGUAAAUUAAAAAAAUUGAAGUUCUUA